GGGUUGGUGGCGCAGUUGGCUAGCGCAAGUCUCAUAGCUUCUGAGGUUGAGAGUUCGAGCCUCUCACACCCCC
RNAcentral lists this transfer RNA (73 nucleotides) under Salix viminalis (osier). Lineage: Eukaryota; Viridiplantae; Streptophyta; Magnoliopsida; Malpighiales; Salicaceae. The record is from RNAcentral.